Molecule: non-coding RNA, 241 nt
Filed under: Clostridium estertheticum
Lineage: Bacteria; Bacillati; Bacillota; Clostridia; Eubacteriales; Clostridiaceae
Description: T-box sequence
Rfam family: T-box leader
About the family: Uncharged tRNA acts as the effector for transcription antitermination of genes in the T-box leader family. T-boxes are found upstream of many aminoacyl-tRNA synthetase genes and some amino acid biosynthetic genes usually in Gram-positive bacteria.
Source: RNAcentral
AUAAAAACUUUGACAGGGACAAAUAGGCAUCAGGAUGUUUUACAGAGAAGGGAUAAAGCUGUGAACCCUAAAUAAUCAGAUGUUGAAACUUACCCUCGAGUUGUGAACUUAAACUAAGUUACACUUAAAAGUGUAUUCACUCUUAAAAGUGCGCUUAUUAGUAGGUUUUACCGGUGUAAUCCGUUAUCUUAAAAUAAGUUAUAAAUAUGGGUGGUACCGCGACGGACUCUUCGCCCCAGUG